Molecule: transfer RNA, 85 nt
Filed under: Caulobacter ginsengisoli
Lineage: Bacteria; Pseudomonadati; Pseudomonadota; Alphaproteobacteria; Caulobacterales; Caulobacteraceae
Description: tRNA-Leu
Rfam family: tRNA
About the family: Transfer RNA (tRNA) molecules are approximately 80 nucleotides in length. Their secondary structure includes four short double-helical elements and three loops (D, anti-codon, and T loops).
Source: RNAcentral
GCCCCUGUGGUGAAAUUGGUAGACGCGCCGGACUCAAAAUCCGGUUCCGCAAGGAGUGUCGGUUCGAGUCCGACCGGGGGCACCA